AACUUUUGGCAACGGAUCUCUCACGUCGCGCUGCUGACAGGAGAAUACAGAAUCGAAGUGCGAACAGUGGAUGUAGGAGCCCCUGCGGGACGAUACGAAAUAAAGAUCGAAGAGCAGCGCGCGCCUGCUGCCGGCGAUGAAACGCGAUUCUCUGCGCAAAAAGCGUUCACCGCCGGCACGCGUUUAUUCGGCGAGAAGAACUAUCGCGCCGCCAUCGAGAAAUACCAGGAGGCGCUUGCGAUGUACCGUCAGUCAGUGAGGCGGAUGGAAGAAGCGGUCACGCUCAACUGUAUCGGUCGCUCAAACUCGUCACUUUACGAUUAUCAAGUCGCAAUCGAGCGGCACAACGAGGCAAUCUCCAUUUAUCACGACUUAAGCAUAUCAAUAAGCGGAGGCU
This 397-nucleotide unclassified non-coding RNA is filed under the name uncultured Ascomycota. RNAcentral describes it as "sequence contains ITS2". Lineage: Eukaryota; Fungi; Ascomycota. The record is from RNAcentral.